This is a long non-coding RNA of Dermochelys coriacea (leatherback sea turtle), 871 nucleotides long. RefSeq lists it as uncharacterized. Lineage: Eukaryota; Metazoa; Chordata; Testudines; Dermochelyidae. The record is from RefSeq and is a predicted model, not a curated record. The transcript has 3 exons.
AUCCUGGUAGCAGUGGGUGAUGAAGAGAGAAAUGAAGGAAGGACAGGGGAGAAUGUGCCAUACAAAAAGGGUGAUGUGGAAGAAAGUUCAAAGGUGUUUACAGGAGCAGAGGCUGAAGGCUGGCAUAAUUGGUGACAUCAGAUACAAUAGCACAUGCAUAGGAAGGGCUAAAAUGUGAAGCGAUUUAAAGGAAGAAAGAAAAUGCCAUAUUGGAUGAGACCAGUGAGCCAGCUGUUUUUUCUGUUAACUCAAAAUGUCAUGACCUUGAGCCUGUUCCAGGUGGUUACAAGCUCAGUGCAUGAGGAUGGCUACCUUUUGGUUCUUGUUGUUUGGAUGGAGGAGGAGAUUUAUUAUAAUUUUCUCAAGUCAGAUUAUCACCUCAUCAUGUUUGAAGUCAGACCUCCUUUUUGAGCAAAAACCCUGUCGCUCAUCUGCCUUGCUGAAGGAAACUGAUGGACCCAAGUCAGUUUCAAAUGUCUUCUAAAGAUAAUGCUGUCAAGAACCUGUAAAAAAAGGUUAUAAUCUUUUGUCAUCCUCAGCCAUUGAUAAAAUGGCUCCCAAAUAUCUUCUUCUCCUAUAUCAUGCCUCAUACAAGCCUCUUUGUACACAGAUGACCUUCAAUAGAUAAAUGCAUGGGGGGAGAGAGCAGAUUAGAGCAGCAGUGGGAGAAGAACACAUUUGAAGUCAAAUGAGUUGCAGCAGAAACAGCUUGAAGUGUUCUCUAUUACAUCUGUCAGGGUGGCAAAGAAGAUUUAAUUCUCCUCAAAGAUAGAAUUUCCUCAAAGACAGAGCCCAAAAAAUCCCAUUAAACCUUGGUUUUGGUCAUGUACAGCAUGGCAAAUUCAGUCAAUGACCACCUUUAAACAAAAUG